GAUAAGAACACGAAUUUCACUCUUAAAUCGUAACACGUUACCAGUUUGAAUUUUGGGACAAAUUCAUUUAUUGCUUGAAGAAGUUAUCUAUAAAUAUUAGACAUUCUCAUACAAAAUCCAAAAUCAUAUAUACUCAUUAAAUUUUCAGAGAAGAAAUGGUUUCCAAAAGAAAUGUAUCCAUACCUUUUAUGUUAAUUAUAGUGCUUCUCAUUUCAUCGGAAGUUGCAAAUGCUAGAGCACUAGCUGAGGCAUUGCGUUAUGAAGAUGAAGAUGAAGAUGAUAUGAUGGGAAGAAGUGUACGUUUUGAGUAUGAGUGCCCGAGUGGAUGCUGUGGUGUUCGUGUAGGUACAAAACCAUCCGCACAAUAUUGCCUCUGUUGCUCGUAUUAGUCCAUACACUUGAUGUUUUUAUAUAUGUUCAUAAAAGAAACAAAAAUUAAAGAAAAUCAUUGGAUUUAAA
This is a long non-coding RNA of Salvia splendens (bonfire salvia), 459 nucleotides long. RefSeq lists it as uncharacterized. Lineage: Eukaryota; Viridiplantae; Streptophyta; Magnoliopsida; Lamiales; Lamiaceae. The transcript has 2 exons. The record is from RefSeq and is a predicted model, not a curated record.